GAUGAAGAACGUAGCGAAAUGCGAUACUUGGUGUGAAUUGCAGAAUCCCGUGAACCAUCGAGUCUUUGAACGCAAGUUGCGCCAGAAGCCAUUAGGCCGAGGGCACGCCUGCCUGGGCGUCACACGUCGUUGCCCCCCCAUCUACUCCUUCGGGAUUGCGGGGGGCGGAUGAUGGCCUCCCGUGCGCCUCGCCGCGCGGUUGGCAUAAAUGCCAAGUCCUCGGCGACGCACGCCACGACAAUCGGUGGUUGCGAAACCUCGGUUGCCCGUCGUGUGCGGUCGUCGCGCAUCGAGGGCUCGAAAAAAUUGCCGGGUUCCGGCUCGGCUUUCAACGCGACCCCAGGUCAGGCGGGGUUACCCGCUGAAUUUAAGCAUAUCAAUAAGCGGAGGA
RNAcentral lists this unclassified non-coding RNA (391 nucleotides) under soil metagenome. RNAcentral describes it as "partial contains 5.8S ribosomal RNA, internal transcribed spacer 2, and large subunit ribosomal RNA". The stretch from base 1 to 122 matches the Rfam family "5.8S ribosomal RNA", at positions 35 to 154 of the family's 154-position model. The record is from RNAcentral.